AUUGAACGCUGGCGGUAGGCCUAACACAUGCAAGUCGAGCGCGAAAGUGCCUUCGGGUGCGAGUAGAGCGGCGGACGGGUGCGUAACGCGUAGGAAUCUGCCUGGUAGUGGGGGAUAACUCGGGGAAACUCGAGCUAAUACCGCAUACGCCCCAUGGGGGAAAGGCGGGGGACCGUUCGGGCCUCGCGCUAUCAGAUGAGCCUGCGUCGGAUUAGCUAGUUGGUAGGGUAAUGGCCUACCAAGGCGACGAUCCGUAGCUGGUCUGAGAGGAUGAUCAGCCACACUGGGACUGAGACACGGCCCAGACUCCUACGGGAGGCAGCAGUGGGGAAUAUUGGACAAAUGGGGGGCAACCCUGAUCCAGCCAUACCGCGUGUGUGAAGAAGGCCUUAGGGUUGUAAAGCACUUUCAGUGGGGAGGAAAAAGUUGCCGGCGAAUACCCGGCGACCGUGACGCUACCUGCAGAAGAAGCACCCGGCAAAACUCCGUGCCAGCAGCCGC
This 501-nucleotide ribosomal RNA is filed under the name uncultured bacterium. RNAcentral's name for it is "bacterial SSU rRNA". It matches the Rfam family "Bacterial small subunit ribosomal RNA", at positions 29 to 518 of the family's 1533-position model. The record is from RNAcentral.